UACGGGGGGGGUAAGCGUUGUUCGGAAUUACUGGGCGUAAAGGGCUCGUAGGCGGCCAACUAAGUCAGACGUGAAAUCCCUCAGCUUAACCGGGGAACUGCGUCUGAUACUGGAUGGCUUGAGUUCGGGAGAGGGAUGCGGAAUUCCAGGUGUAGCGGUGAAAUGCGUAGAUAUCUGGAGGAACACCGGUGGCGAAGGCGGCAUCCUGGACCGACACUGACACUGAGGAGCAAAAGCCAGGGGAGCAAACGGG
RNAcentral lists this ribosomal RNA (253 nucleotides) under uncultured bacterium. RNAcentral describes it as "partial 16S ribosomal RNA". It matches the Rfam family "Bacterial small subunit ribosomal RNA", at positions 524 to 776 of the family's 1533-position model. The record is from RNAcentral.